GAUGAACGCUAGCGACAGGCUUAACACAUGCAAGUCGAGGGGCAGCACGGGAGUAGCAAUACAACUGGUGGCGACCGGCGCACGGGUGAGUAACGCGUAUGCAACCUACCUAUCAGAGGGGAAUAACCCGGCGAAAGUCGGACUAACACCGCAUAAAACAGGGGCACCGCAUGGUGCUAUUUGUUAAAGAAAUUCGCUGAUAGAUGGGCAUGCGUUCCAUUAGGUAGUUGGUGAGGUAACGGCUCACCAAGCCGACGAUGGAUAGGGGAACUGAGAGGUUUGUCCCCCACACUGGUACUGAGACACGGACUAGACUCCUACGGGAGGCAGCAGUGAGGAAUAUUGGUCAAUGGGCGAGAGCCUGAACCAGCCAAGUCGCGUGAAGGAAGAAGGAUCUAUGGUUCGUAAACUUCUUUUGCAGGGGAAUAAAGUGCAGGACGUGUCCUGUCUUGUAUGUACCCUGAGAAUAAGGAUCGGCUAACUCCGUGCCAGCCGCCGCAGUAA
This 504-nucleotide ribosomal RNA is filed under the name uncultured bacterium. RNAcentral's name for it is "partial 16S ribosomal RNA". It matches the Rfam family "Bacterial small subunit ribosomal RNA", at positions 28 to 523 of the family's 1533-position model. The record is from RNAcentral.